GCUUUGGACCGAGUCCCACCGCUGGACCUUAAAGCACUCUCCGCCUCGUUCAUUUCCUAUGGCGUUCUUUCAACCACUGCGAACACACGGUGUGGAGCGCGAGGGCCGGGAUUGCAGCGAGAAAUGCCCGAGGAACUCGUCCAUUCAGAGCCCACGUCCUAGUGCAAACCUGCAGAACAUGCACCGUGUGGAACUUGGACACUGAGACCCAGAGACCUCGACGACAGGAACGUUAGAUCAACGCCGUAGCAAAGGAAUCUUGGGUCGCAGUACAAGAGUCGCACGAGGAUGCUGCGCCUGGCACCGUCUCCUCCGUCCUCUGCCGCCCAGCUCUAGGCUUUAAGUGAAGGACACCUGGACGCCGGUGUGUGCGGAACCGUCUGCGGGGCUCGUGAAGAACGUGGAGGCCGGGCCUUCUCGGGACAGCGGUCCGAGGUCACCGCCUGAAGCGCUCUACAAACCGCUCCCAUCAGGGCGACAGCGGCAGCGGUAACGGGCAGCUCGGGGUGAACUUGCUCAUUUGAGAGCGAGUUGGGGUUGCUCGCUCGCUCUCUCUCUCUCCUCUCUUCCUCUGCUCUCUGCUCUCU
This is a long non-coding RNA of Marmota flaviventris (yellow-bellied marmot), 587 nucleotides long. RefSeq lists it as uncharacterized. NCBI's taxonomy places the organism in Eukaryota, Metazoa, Chordata, Mammalia, Rodentia, Sciuridae. The record is from RefSeq and is a predicted model, not a curated record.